AUGGGCGUUUAUUUAUUCUGAAGCAACUGCAGGCCACCGCUUUCAAGGCUCAAGGCCUUCAAGGCUUCAUCGCUUCAACCAAUUCGUGAAGAACGAUCACUGCAACAGCACCGCGCCACGACGCCACCGCUCUUUGAUCGACGGCAUCGACCAGGCGACCACCGAGGCACUGACCCAACUCACCCAAGCAAUCUUCUCUUUGAUUUCGUGUUUCCGGCUAGGCUUCUCAAGGUUUCAAUAAUGGAGCGGCGACAAGGGAGAACAUAUGAAGUGUGUAAAAGAAAAAAGCAUAAACAGGAGGAGGCGAUGCAAGACAUUGACUACUACGGGGAUGAUUCAAUGUCUGAAUUUGAUUAUGACUUCCGCCCUAAGUCAGAUUCAGAAUCUGUAAGCUGGAGUGCAGAAUCCGAAAGCAUGACUAGUGAAGUUGUUGCCUUGCACGAGGAAAAUAAGAAGAAAAAACAAAUGGAGAUGGAAAAACAAACGGGAAGGAAAAAGAUGUAAGGGAACCGAGCCAGGAUGCAAAGGGUGAUCACUUUAUAAAAAAAACCCUCGGAUAGCUAGAGUGAAACCGAAUCGUGGUACAGAGAAACUUGAUCCUGCUGUAUUUGUGGAUAAUUCGAAAAGUGUGGGAGGACAAGUAAAAGAGGCGAGCAAAGUUAUAGCAACCUUUUACGAGCAUAAGAAGGCAAUGUCGAAUGUCAAUUGUGCCAUUGAGACUUUAGGGAGGGUUGUUGUUACAUUUAACAAAACCAAAAGGGGAACUGUUACAAAAAUAGGGUUUGGAAAACUGCUCUAUGCUUCCGAGAAAAGUCUUCCACGACACUUAUCGUACUGGAUCAGUACAAGACUAGAUGUGAAGAAUAAAAUGUUGGUGGCCGUCGAUGGACAACAAAUUCGGUUGAACGCAAUCCAGGUGCAUUGGGUUCUUGGCCUUCCAAAGGGGAAUAAAGCACUUCCGAUAAAAGUUGUCGAUAAGGCUUUAAAGGACCAUUUGUAUGACAAGUAUAUCACACCUAUGGGGCGCAACACUACCGGAAUUUAUAGGAGUACUCUCGUACAAGUAGUUGAGGCCCCGUUAGUUGACGAGGGUGAGUUUAAGAAGGUUUUUGUCAUGUUGGUGCUAAACAUUCUAUGUUCAACAACUUGUCAUAGAGUGAUCAAGAAGCAGAUGCGCCUAUUUGUCUUGGCUGACAAAGCAGAGAAGUAUGAUUGGUGUACAGUAGUGUUGGAUGAGUUGCUCCAUGCGCUAGGUAGUUUCAGUAAGAGGUUCUAUGCGAAAGGGUGGGCUCCUUGUCUCGGUGGCUGUACAUAUUUUUUGUCGAUAGAGACUUUAAUGCAAGUGCAUACUCUUCUAGUAUAUUGGGAUGUGUUCGUACGAAUUAAAUGUGGACCACGGAGGAGAUGAAGAAAGCGGAAAAGGAUAAUAAGUUACCUAGUGGAGAUUUUGGGAAACUUGGGUUCCGAAGCCUAGAUGGUGACUGGAUCUGGAAGCUGGUUGGGAUUACCUGCACAAUAGACGGUGAUUAUGCCCUGGGGGUGGCUUCGAGGAACCCCCCUCCGAUGCUUAAGUUAGUAAGGUUCCGGGUGAAUAAUAAUGGAUAGGUGAUAAAAUGAAUGUGUCUAACCUCUUUUCCGUUGUACUUAGGUUGCUAUUUAUAGUUGUACUAUUCUUGGUGUUGCAAGCUGAGGCCUGCUGGGGUCAGUCAUGAGGCUGAGUCCCUGAGAGAUCGAUCCUGACUCCGAGGUGGAGCCUGCUGGGGUUAGCCAUGAAGUUGAGCCCCUAGGAGAUUUUUUCUAGCCUCGGGCUGGACUGGCACGAGUGCGCACCUCUUAAGUGGUGCUGGGAGCAUAGGUCAGCUUAGCGGGAGCUACCCCGUACAACUAGCCCCUCUAGAGGUGGUCUGAGGCACUCAAGCCAGCUCUUGUUGACUAGAGACGUUCUUCUGGGAAGAGCUCUGCCGAGGCUACCCCAUACAACUAGCCACCCAAAAGGUGGUACGAGGGAUUCGUGUCAGCUCUUCCAAACUUUUAUUGGGUCAUUACUUGGCUCAAUUUACUAAUCGAGAUCCUCUUUAUACAACUAGUCCCCCUUGAGUCUCAUAUCUGCAAUCAGCUGAUUUGAGGCUAAGAGAGUUCUGCUAGUGAGGUGCAUCAUGCUGAAUUUGUCAAGGUGAGGAGCGUGGAUUACUCCCGCUGAAGUUAUGCCAAAGUGGCGAGCUGAGGCCGAGCGAGGAGCUUUGAUUACCCCGCUGAAGUUAUUUCAAAGCAACGAGCUAAGGCUGAGCGAGGAGCUUUGAUUACUCCCGCUGAAGUUAUUUCAAAGCAACGAGCCGAGGCUGAGGGAGGAGCUUUGAUUACUCCCGCUGAAGUUGUUUCAAAGCGACGAGCUGAGGCCGAGCAAGGAGCUUUGAUUACUCCCGCUGAAGUUAUUUUAAAGCAACGAGCUAAAGCUGAGCGAGGAGCUUUGAUUACUCCCGCUGAAGUUAUUUCAAAGCAACGAGUUGAGGCUGAGCGAGGAGCUUUGAUUACUCCUGCUGAAGUUAUUUCAAAGCAACGAGCUAAGGCUAAGCGAGGAGCUCUUUUUUUUUUUCGACGUGGCCCUGCUUAGUGUGUUGGUUACCUCCCUUUGUUAGGUAAGUAACUGUCAUUUAAUGCUGGUACUCAAUUUCCCCUCUGUUCUUUUCGUAUUCUAUGUUUUCACUAUUGUGUUUUUCAUUUUAAUUUUGAAUUUUUUCUCCUCUAUCCUUUCUCAUUCAUUCACUCGCCUUUUCAAAGUUACCUUCCUUUCGCUCCAACUUCCAACUUCUCUUCACUCCAUCCCCUUCUCUCGUAGUUCUGCAAUUUAUUUGGGUGCCACUCGCCGCAAGUUCGCCAUGAAUUACGCUUUGGUUGCCUCAUAUUUGUUGCUCGUUCAUCAAAAGUUAUCAUCUUUUAACCAUCUUCCGCCAUUGUUGUACUUCCUUUGUUGAAUUGAGUAUAUUUUUUCCUAAAGAUUGCCCUUUUUUCUUUUUAUCGUGUUGUUAAUUUGCCCUUGUAUACUUUUUUUUUUGUUCCAAGACCAAUUCUUACCUUGUUGUUGUAGUAAUUUCUCAUCGUCGUUGUACUCGUACGGUUUAUUCUUUGAUUUGUUCUUCUGUCGCCCCCUUCUUCCUUUUUCUUUUCUUCUUGUUUAAUCUCUUCAUUGGAAAUUUGUGUUCUUUUUCUUUUUCCAAGUUUUGAUUUUUUUUUGCUAUGUCGGACGCUUUUGAUAGUCAGAAUGACUCCUCCCGCUCUUACGACGUUGGUGGCGAGUCCGAGUCUACUUCCUCUUCCGAGUCGACUCGCUCAAGUGAGCCUUCUAGGCCAUAUGUCCCUUUUUCUUCUCCUAUUUCUUGUUCCCCUUUGCAAGUUGUGUUUCCUCUCAACUACAACGUUCCAUCGGGAAGUGUGCCCGUCGCUGGCGCUUUUGCUUGUGUUGUUGAGCCUAGCGGCGGGCGCUCUAACCCUAGCACGUUUCAUCCUUACCUUCGUGGUAGGUUGCGCAGCGAUACUUUUGACCCUUAUUGCGAGAGGGUUUUGAUGACCAGGGGGGUUGCAUUGCCUCACUUGCUGCGUAUGCGGCUGCGUGCUGCUCGUCAUGCACAACUGGCAGCUGAGGGCUAACCUUCUUGCUGAUGCCCCUAGGAGCCCUUUUCCUCAUGCACUUCCUUUGCGUGAAUUUUCUUGGUUGGACGAUAUAUCUGAUGUGCACCGUUUUGACCAUUAUGUAGAGCGCAACUCUACUCUUGUCGAUACCUCUGGCUGCUCCUCAAACUCAAUCUCCGUGAACGCUUGUCAGCCCUGGUACGUAGAUGAGGUGGUCCCUCUAGGUGAUUCCACCUUUUAUUUGGAUGACAAAGCUGAUGGCCUCGUCUUUGCUCCCUGAAUUCUGAGUGGCGGAUGCUGGCUGCCCGCUUAAAGGUGGCCGAGUGCAGUAACACCUUCUACGGGAUGGGAGAAGGUUAUGAGCUGGUGCUGCCCAAAGCUGGGUCCAGCCUUGUCAACCCUCUAGUGGGUCACAUUGCCGCUUUUGCUUCCCAGCUGAAUGUGGGACUAAGGUUUCCUUUAGAUCCAACUUUGGACAAGAUGCUGCGUGCCUUUAACAUUCCUCUUUCCUUGAUUCUGCCCGCGUCUCUGCAUACACUGAUAUGCUUGCUUUGGACGGUGCGUUACAAACGCUUUCCAGAGUCUCUGCCUCUGUUUCAUCAGUUAUUUAGCUUUAAACGGAGUGCUUCAGAUGCUAACUCAGGCUGGUUUUAUCUUGCGCCUAAACCUAAAAGAGUUUUGUCUUACCCCAAACUAGGCCGCUUCAGGGAUUGGUAGGGCAAAUUCUUUUGGCUGCAUGUUCCGGUUGACUUUGGGUGCCCUCGCUCUUUUUUGCUGUGUUAUAUCAAAUUUGGGGGGGCGUCACUCUGCAGGUAGCCGACGCUGCCAAAGAAGCUCAGGCCUUUGAUCAUUUUGAGGGUGAGUCCUAUUCUCCCAAAACAUGGCUUCCCAAUGGGUUAUAUGUUAUAGGGAAUGCUAAGCUCUCUGCCAUGCGUUUAUGCUCGACCCAUGAGUCUGUUGAGAUUCUUUUUGCCUCACAGUUAUUUCUGCUUCCUUCUACUUCUCUCCCUAUGAUACUAUGACUGAUUUGUUUUCCUUCUUUUUAGGCUAUGACAAAUUGGAUAAGGCAUUGCUGGGUGUGGAUGAUACUUGGAAGCCCCUUGUCAAGACUCCAAGAUAUCCCUCCUUCCCCCUUAAAGUGUUAGAGGUUUAUGUCACUGCCCGCCUGGGUGAGUCAUGCCCAGUCCCUGAGUUUAGACUCUACCAUUGCUAGAGCCUCUACCCGCUCUACUCCCACUACUCGGGCAGAGAUUGAGCCUGAAGUUUCUACUGCUGGUAGUGAUCAAGUUAGGGGGAAUGCUAAGUCCCCCCAAAUGUCUGGGUCGUUGAUGGUGCCAAGUUCUUCGGCUACGGUCUCCGGUCGGUGGACAACCCAGACUUUUGAUGAGAAUAAGGAUGAGGUCUGUAAUCGUGAAAUCCCUGAUGCUGCAGAAACCUUAGACGGCACAGGCCACAACAAUAAUGAGUUUACAUAUUCUCUACUUAACGCUGUAUCUUUUGACACUUUGACCGUUGUUGGUGCUGGUAGAGUAACUGAGUCUAUGCAAGUUGAUGCAUCUUCUAGGCUUGAACCAUAGGGUUCUAUUUCAAUAAGGCAUGUUCUGCUCUUUACUAAUGAAGCUUCACUUCUUGUUUCAGAGAGUCAACCUCUCCCUUCCUCUACUUCUACCGAGCAUGUUUUGCUCGAACUUCUACUACUGGAGGCUUGACUGUUGAGCUCUCUGCUUCUACUUAUGUAUUUUCUGGCGCUACUGUAACUCACAACCCUAUUUCUCAGAUAAGGUAUUAAUGUGAUCGUCUGUGUAGCCGUCAUCGUGGUGGGCACACGCCCACCACUUCUAGCAGAGAGAGCCCUACCCCCAUUAUUGACUUGGAGCCUAUUUCUCCUCCACGUGAGCCUUCUCCCAAAAGGGCCAGAGUUCCCAUUGUGGACGAGCUGUUUGCUUCAGCUUCUUGUCAAUAUGAGCCUAUGAGCGCGCUCAAGGUGGGGCUGCUCCUGCUUCCAGUGAACUUAAUCGCUGCGCGAAUCAAUUUUUUGGGGAGACUUACACUCAUCCCUUCUCUGUUUCUUCUAAAUCCUCAGACAGGGUUUUUAAGGCAGCUGGCCCUUUAGAGUUUUCUAAAGUGCAUAUUAACGCAGCUCUGAGGCCUGCACUGCGUCCGUCUAGGGUUGCUGACGAGCCUUUCUACUCUACCCUGAAUGUUAGGUCUGACAAAUCUAUUUUCCUUAACGACCUUCUUCAGGGAGGUACUAUGGGGUAUAGGUUGACUUAGGGCAUCCGGCUCCUCGCUAACCUUGGGAACCAGUAUGUCAGCGUGCCUGCUGCCGUUGCCUGCCAUGACCUACAAAAGGUAUCGUUUUACUUGCUUCUUGCUUUCCUUUAUUUUACGAGGUUUUUACUUAUUUGUUUUCUUUUCAUUAUUCUUUAAUUUUUAUUGUCUUUGUUCCCUUCUUUGGUGGCUGCCCAGCUCGCUCGCUCUAUUGGUGAUCUGGCUAAUGCUUUGCUCACUGUUGAGAAAGGUUACCAGUCUCAAAGUUCGAGCUUAAAUGAAAAGGUUGAUGAUCUGGAGCAAGUUUAGAACGAGAAGGCAGAGCUGGAGCGUGGGUUGGGGGAGAAGGAUGAUGCGCUAUGCGCUGCUCAACUCCAAUUAGCUAAAUACCUCCCUGUUGCUCAGAAGCUGGCUCAGCACGAAGAUGAGCUAAAAAGGGUUCAGGCCCAAGUGCAGAAUUUGGAAGCAAUGGUAGCUCGCUUAGAGGGAGACCGUACCGCAGAGCUUAAUGCAGCUCGCAGGGAUGCCUUGGUGGAGUUUGUUUCCUCUCAGACCUUUGCAAACUUGGUCACAGACAAGCAUGAUGGAGGCUGCACGCAGAAGUGCUGGUGAGGAGCAUCAGGUGAAGUUUGAGCAGUUUUGGAGCAGGGUUGAUCAACCAAGAUGCUUAUGUGUAUCUCGCUCAUAACCCUCGUGUUGCCGCUUGUGGCAUUCCAGACCAUGCUGUUCUCAAUAAGGUCCAUGCUGAGUCUCCUGACCUUGCUGCUGCCAUUGGGGUAGAGGCCCUUCCUGCCAACCAAUAAAGGUUUUGGCGGCCAUCUCCCUGUUCUUCCAGUGGCUCAUCUGAGUACCCCUCUCCCCGCUCUGUAAUAAGUUUAUGUUUUUUGCUUUCUUCCAUUUGGGUGUAUAGCCGCCAGUGGUUGUGUAGGUUUUUAAGGCAUGUACUUGCCUUGGCUAUUUUCCAGAACUUUUUAUCUUUUCUUCGUUUGUUAAAGACAAUACUUUUGUGCCUUUGGAAUUUGCACUUUGCAAUUUGCUUUGUCUUACUUGCUUUAACUUUUAGCUCCUUUCUUCUCUUUUGGUUGCGCAUUUUUUUAUUGUGUAUUUCUGCUUGAUGUGUGCUGGGUUCAGUUAUCCGAAGGAGAGGGUACUCCUCUUUUCGCUGUUUGGAGUUUCCCCCCUUCCUAGCUGACACUGUUGCCCCCUUGACUGCACUGUUGGCUACCAUUACCUACUAGCGCUCUUAGGCUUGGUUUAUUUAGGCAAACUGUUACUUCAGGUGUCCCUAUUGUAAUAAUUUCCUUCCAAGGCUGAAAACACCCCCAGCGCAGGAUUGUGGCCUUCUUGUUUGCGUUUUCUUGCCCGUCCCCUGCUUCUUGGGCGGGGCUUGGGGCUUUUAUGCCGCCACUUUAUUUUAGUGCGGUUUAAUUUUUAUGCCUCUGUUUCUUAUGAACUGGGUUUCUACCUUCGCUUUAUUGUAGCAAGGCUUUAAUGAGGCGAACAUGUUGUUUUCUAUUUUGCUUAGCUCGUGCUGGGUUUGCCUUAUUAUAGCCCUGCUUGCUCUGGCAGAAACAUAUAAUCCUUUGCUAACAAACAAGUAAGUAAUGCAAUAAAAUAUUAUAUUUAGGGAAAGGCCUCACGCAGAGGUUAAAUAUUCCAUCGAUAAUGUGAAACGCCUCACGCAGAGGUUAAUGUUCCUCUUCUUUAAAAUUACAACUUAUCGGAAAUAAAGCUUAGACGACUCCUUCAUUUAUAGCUAAACAAAAUGCUAAAGAAAAACAUGAAAUUAUGUGAAUAACCUCUUUAGGACGUCAGCAUUUAAUCUGUUCCUCAAGAUGCAACCAUCCUAAUUAGAGAGUAGGUAGGCCCCUGGCCCUACCUGCUUGUGUAUUAUGAAGGGUCCUUCCCAAUUCGCGCUCAACUUUCCAUGUAGCUUUCCUCUACACACAACAGCUGUUCUUCUCAGUACUAAGUCCCCUUCACUGAGUUCUCUAUGCCUUACUCUUCUAUUGUAGACUUGGCCAUUCUGCUUUUCUGAGCAGCUAACUUUAGGGCAGCCUUCAACCUGACUUCUGGUAGGAGAUCUAACUCCCCUCUCAUUCUGUCCUCGUUCUUUUGACUGUCAUAGUGUUGUACUCUUAAACUUGGGAGUUGCACUUCUGUUUCGGGGUGUUUUGAGAUGUCCUACGGGAGAGUUACAGCACCGGGAAUGUACGCCUGACGUCUGCACCUGCAAAACCACGAAACUCCGGUUGGGUGGAGUUCCACCUCCGAAGGUCAAGUUAGUAUGAUUUCGGAUGUGUAUACGUGCGGAAAGUAAACUGGUUCUCUCGGAUUCCGAGAGAUUCCGCAAUUAAUAUUGCUCUGGUUUUGUGUGUAUUUAUGAAUCCCAAUA
Molecule: long non-coding RNA, 8293 nt
Organism: Chenopodium quinoa (quinoa)
Lineage: Eukaryota; Viridiplantae; Streptophyta; Magnoliopsida; Caryophyllales; Amaranthaceae
Exons: 8
Source: RefSeq, a predicted model, not a curated record